AAUAGUUAAAUAUGUAACAUUAGUAUGUCAAACUAAAAUUAUUAAAUUUUUAGUAUUUUUAA
RNAcentral lists this transfer RNA (62 nucleotides) under Drosophila pavani. RNAcentral's name for it is "tRNA-Asp". Lineage: Eukaryota; Metazoa; Arthropoda; Insecta; Diptera; Drosophilidae. The record is from RNAcentral.